GGCCUGGCCGGGCGGUCUGCCUCACGGUAUGUACUGUCUGGCUGGGUCUUACCUCUUGGUGAGCCAGCAUGCCCUUCACUGGGUGUGUUGGGGAACCAGGACUUUUACCUUGAGAAAAUUAGAGUGUUCAAAGCAGGCCUACGCCCGAAUACAUUAGCAUGGAAUAAUAAAAUAGGACGUGUGGUUCUAUUUUGUUGGUUUCUAGAAUCGCCGUA
Molecule: ribosomal RNA, 215 nt
Filed under: uncultured fungus
Lineage: Eukaryota; Fungi
Description: partial small subunit ribosomal RNA
Rfam family: Eukaryotic small subunit ribosomal RNA (bases 88-215)
Source: RNAcentral